UCUCCGUUGGUGAACCAGCGGAGGGAUCAUUACCAGAGUGCCCUAGGCUCUCCAACCCAUUGUGAACUUACCAAACGUUCCCUCGGCGGGCUCAGCGCGCGGUGGCCUCCGGGCCUCCGGGCGUCCGCCGGGGAAAACCAAACCCCGAUUUAAUCGUAUUGCUCUGAGGGGCGAAAGCCCGAAAACAAAAUGAAUCAAAACUUUCAACAACGGAUCUCUUGGCUCUG
This 227-nucleotide unclassified non-coding RNA is filed under the name soil metagenome. RNAcentral's name for it is "partial contains small subunit ribosomal RNA, internal transcribed spacer 1, and 5.8S ribosomal RNA". The record is from RNAcentral.